This is a long non-coding RNA of Phacochoerus africanus (Common warthog), 2442 nucleotides long. RefSeq lists it as uncharacterized. Lineage: Eukaryota; Metazoa; Chordata; Mammalia; Artiodactyla; Suidae. The record is from RefSeq and is a predicted model, not a curated record. The transcript is spliced from 3 exons.
UAAGCAGAGGUGGCACCGAAGGGAUGGCCCAGGGCAGGGAGGCCACCUGCCCCACCCAGUACCUCCCUGAGUCCCUGCACUUCCCCUUCUAGCAUGAACCACAAAGGUCAAAGUUCAGAGUUCAUGGGUUAGUGCACAAGCUGCACCACUUGGCUCCCAUUGCCUGGCACAGACCUGAGCGCAUCCUCAGGGGCCUCUGCUUGAGGUGAGGGGGUGAAGACCGUGUCAGCCGACCUGGAGUCUGGAGGCCAUGGAGACCUGAUGAGCAGGGACACAGCCACUUCUCUGCAGAGACCGCCUGGGCUGAUGGCAACCGCAGACCAGAGGCCCCUCCCAGCCCCCCAAGAUGGAACAUAAGGUGUCCUCCUCCCUGCAUUUAGGGCAGGUCAGGGAUACAGGAAGGAGAAGGGGCCACAGGCAGCCUUUUGAACUGACUACCAAACAAUACUAAAAAGCAUUCUGGAAGCCACUCACUUCUUAGGAGAUGACAAAAGUUAGUUUCCUCCUCUGGACGUGGAAGCUUGAAAAUGAAGAACGGUGGCAAUGACAUUUUUGCCUGCUCCUGUAGUCUAGGAAACUGGCUACUGCUUCAUGAGGACAGUCUUGCAGGGGGUGGCAUCGGCCAAGGGCUGCCAUGGAGUGGGGUGUGCCCAGCGUCCACAGUCCAUUACUGUGAGGGGAGAACAGAUGUCAUGACAUCAUGGCCCAGUUUGUCUCUAUUCAGGCAUUUUGGUGCGUCCUCCUAAUGAGAAUGGUAAAAUCAGAGAAAGGCGGGAAUCCAGGGAACCUAGACUAUUAGUGACCCAUUUCUCAGAGGAGGAGACUGAGGCGGGGUGGAGGGAAACAUGGCCAAGCCAGGCCUGGGCUGAGUGGGGCCCAGCUGGUUCUCGCCUCCCACCCCUUGGAGCCAGAAGAUGCUGCUUCUGGCCCCAGCAGCUCUAAUGCCUGGUGUUCUUUUCUUCUGCACCCUGUGCCUCCUACCCUUCCCCUGCCAUGUUAUAGCCACAGCGUGGGGACUCCGAGGAGGACAGCCCUGCCACCUGCUUCCCCCCAGGGCCUCUGGGCUCCUCCAGGGAAGGUGUCUCACCCCCUCAGGAAGGGGCUGGUCAGUUGGGGUGAAGGUCUGUGAGUGUCAGCGUGGGAAGGAGCUGAAGACGUGGUCCGACAGGCAUUCCUACUCCGGGACCUUCCUCGAAAUUACCUGGAAAACCUAUGGGAACCCCCACACCCAAGUCCAGCUGCCAGAUGGUGUCUGGACUGCUCGCGUGUAGACAGCGUGGUGGUUCACAGCGUGGCUCUGACAUCAAAUUCAAGUGCCUCAUAAUCCUGGAUGGUCAAUAAAACCAGUGUCCAAUAUGAUGUACUCAGUGCCAUCAAGAGGACCAGUCGUAGUGGGCUGCAACACACAGAAGCCUUCCGUCUCCAGUGAGCUACAUGCAGCACCAGGCACAGCGUGCCUGGCAUAAUAUCCAGCCGAAUGCACGUAGCUGGUCUGCCAGGCAGCUCUAUCACCCCCAUUUUACAGAUGAGAAAACAGAGGCUCAGAGAAGUUAGGUGCAGUGCCAGCCAUCACAUGGUAGCGAGAGUGAGCGCCAGGUCCACAGCCGGGCCCGUCUGGCCCGAUGCGCCACAGCCUUCAGGCUGCAGUUCCCACGGCCCCUCCCUCCUUAUGGGUGUUUUCCGGGCGACCUUGCUUCUGGAUUCUUGACCUCCGGUUUUACGGCUGUUUCCUAUGUGGUGGUUAUUGCCGCUGCUUCCAUCCUCAGGGUUCUCCUGGCGAGCGGAGCUCCCUGCCUAACUCGGACCCUCAUUCUAUGGCCUGGGCAGGCUUCUUCCCCUCGUGCCUUCCAGCCCCUCAUGUGCAGAAGCAGGCCGUCCGGCAGAUGACCCGAGACCUCCCAGCCGUGCCUCUGUGCUCGUGGAGGACAUGUGACAGAGAGAAGGAAGACAGGCCGGCUGACGGGGGAAAAGCUGGGGUGGGAGGCCGUCAGCCUUGAGCUCGCCUUGGGCUCAGGGAUGCGACGUGGCUUCACGCUUUACAAGAAGCUCAAAGAAAUCCUGUGUGGAAAACGUCCUCUCAGUGUCCCGGAGGUGGGAUGGAUGUGGUUGUGCAGAGAGGUGGGUGAACUGGCGCCAACUAAAGGUCAAAAGCAAGCCGGCCUUAACCUUAACCGCGGCCCCUGGUGUUUAAGAAGGGACCGCCAGCACCCCUCCCCUGACCACCCAGCGCACGUCACAGCCUGAGACGUAGCCAGGGCCCCUGUGCUGUCCCUCAGCCCCAGGGGGCUUGCUAACACCUCUGCUUCCAGGUGACAUGCACCUGUCCUCACCAGGCCUCCCAGGAUGGCUGGCCAAUGGCGCAGAGAGUCAGGCCGACGAGUCCCUGGGCAGGGAGACCACGCCCCUUCAGGACCAGACGGUCCUUGAGGAGGGUCGCGCUCU